This 2343-nucleotide ribosomal RNA is filed under the name Escherichia coli. Its description in RNAcentral is "partial 23S ribosomal RNA". It matches the Rfam family "Bacterial large subunit ribosomal RNA", at positions 165 to 2531 of the family's 2925-position model. The record is from RNAcentral. Lineage: Bacteria; Pseudomonadati; Pseudomonadota; Gammaproteobacteria; Enterobacterales; Enterobacteriaceae.
CAUAGGUUAAUGAGGCGAACCGGGGGAACUGAAACAUCUAAGUACCCCGAGGAAAAGAAAUCAACCGAGAUUCCCCCAGUAGCGGCGAGCGAACGGGGAGCAGCCCAGAGCCUGAAUCAGUGUGUGUGUUAGUGGAAGCGUCUGGAAAGGCGCGCGAUACAGGGUGACAGCCCCGUACACAAAAAUGCACAUGCUGUGAGCUCGAUGAGUAGGGCGGGACACGUGGUAUCCUGUCUGAAUAUGGGGGGACCAUCCUCCAAGGCUAAAUACUCCUGACUGACCGAUAGUGAACCAGUACCGUGAGGGAAAGGCGAAAAGAACCCCGGCGAGGGGAGUGAAAAAGAACCUGAAACCGUGUACGUACAAGCAGUGGGAGCCUCUUUAUGGGGUGACUGCGUACCUUUUGUAUAAUGGGUCAGCGACUUAUAUUCUGUAGCAAGGUUAACCGAAUAGGGGAGCCGAAGGGAAACCGAGUCUUAACUGGGCGUUAAGUUGCAGGGUAUAGACCCGAAACCCGGUGAUCUAGCCAUGGGCAGGUUGAAGGUUGGGUAACACUAACUGGAGGACCGAACCGACUAAUGUUGAAAAAUUAGCGGAUGACUUGUGGCUGGGGGUGAAAGGCCAAUCAAACCGGGAGAUAGCUGGUUCUCCCCGAAAGCUAUUUAGGUAGCGCCUCGUGAAUUCAUCUCCGGGGGUAGAGCACUGUUUCGGCAAGGGGGUCAUCCCGACUUACCAACCCGAUGCAAACUGCGAAUACCGGAGAAUGUUAUCACGGGAGACACACGGCGGGUGCUAACGUCCGUCGUGAAGAGGGAAACAACCCAGACCGCCAGCUAAGGUCCCAAAGUCAUGGUUAAGUGGGAAACGAUGUGGGAAGGCCCAGACAGCCAGGAUGUUGGCUUAGAAGCAGCCAUCAUUUAAAGAAAGCGUAAUAGCUCACUGGUCGAGUCGGCCUGCGCGGAAGAUGUAACGGGGCUAAACCAUGCACCGAAGCUGCGGCAGCGACGCUUAUGCGUUGUUGGGUAGGGGAGCGUUCUGUAAGCCUGUGAAGGUGUGCUGUGAGGCAUGCUGGAGGUAUCAGAAGUGCGAAUGCUGACAUAAGUAACGAUAAAGCGGGUGAAAAGCCCGCUCGCCGGAAGACCAAGGGUUCCUGUCCAACGUUAAUCGGGGCAGGGUGAGUCGACCCCUAAGGCGAGGCCGAAAGGCGUAGUCGAUGGGAAACAGGUUAAUAUUCCUGUACUUGGUGUUACUGCGAAGGGGGGACGGAGAAGGCUAUGUUGGCCGGGCGACGGUUGUCCCGGUUUAAGCGUGUAGGCUGGUUUUCCAGGCAAAUCCGGAAAAUCAAGGCUGAGGCGUGAUGACGAGGCACUACGGUGCUGAAGCAACAAAUGCCCUGCUUCCAGGAAAAGCCUCUAAGCAUCAGGUAACAUCAAAUCGUACCCCAAACCGACACAGGUGGUCAGGUAGAGAAUACCAAGGCGCUUGAGAGAACUCGGGUGAAGGAACUAGGCAAAAUGGUGCCGUAACUUCGGGAGAAGGCACGCUGAUAUGUAGGUGAGGUCCCUCGCGGAUGGAGCUGAAAUCAGUCGAAGAUACCAGCUGGCUGCAACUGUUUAUUAAAAACACAGCACUGUGCAAACACGAAAGUGGACGUAUACGGUGUGACGCCUGCCCGGUGCCGGAAGGUUAAUUGAUGGGGUUAGCGGUAACGCGAAGCUCUUGAUCGAAGCCCCGGUAAACGGCGGCCGUAACUAUAACGGUCCUAAGGUAGCGAAAUUCCUUGUCGGGUAAGUUCCGACCUGCACGAAUGGCGUAAUGAUGGCCAGGCUGUCUCCACCCGAGACUCAGUGAAAUUGAACUCGCUGUGAAGAUGCAGUGUACCCGCGGCAAGACGGAAAGACCCCGUGAACCUUUACUAUAGCUUGACACUGAACAUUGAGCCUUGAUGUGUAGGAUAGGUGGGAGGCUUUGAAGUGUGGACGCCAGUCUGCAUGGAGCCGACCUUGAAAUACCACCCUUUAAUGUUUGAUGUUCUAACGUUGACCCGUAAUCCGGGUUGCGGACAGUGUCUGGUGGGUAGUUUGACUGGGGCGGUCUCCUCCUAAAGAGUAACGGAGGAGCACGAAGGUUGGCUAAUCCUGGUCGGACAUCAGGAGGUUAGUGCAAUGGCAUAAGCCAGCUUGACUGCGAGCGUGACGGCGCGAGCAGGUGCGAAAGCAGGUCAUAGUGAUCCGGUGGUUCUGAAUGGAAGGGCCAUCGCUCAACGGAUAAAAGGUACUCCGGGGAUAACAGGCUGAUACCGCCCAAGAGUUCAUAUCGACGGCGGUGUUUGGCACCUCGAUG